GACGAACGCUGGCGGCGUGCUUAACACAUGCAAGUCGAACGGAAAGGCCCUGCUUGCAGGGUACUCGAGUGGCGAACGGGCGAGUAACACGUGGGUGAUCUGCCCUGCACUACGGGAUAAGCCUGGGAAACUGGGUCUAAUAACGGACAGGAGACAUUUUUAGUGUGAUGGUUGGAAAGUUUUUUCGGUGUAGGAUGAGCUCGCGGCCUAUCAGCUUGUUGGUGGGGUAAUGGCCUACCAAGGCGGCGACGGGUAGCCGGCCUGAGAGGGUGGACGGCCACAUUGGGACUGAGAUACGGCCCAGACUCCUACGGGAGGCAGCAGUGGGGAAUAUUGCACAAUGGGCGCAAGCCUGAUGCAGCGACGCCGCGUGGGGGAUGACGGCCUUCGGGUUGUAAACUCCUUUCGCUAGGGACGAAGCUUUUUGUGACGGUACCUAGAUAAGAAGCACCGGCUAACUACGU
Molecule: ribosomal RNA, 464 nt
Filed under: uncultured bacterium
Lineage: Bacteria
Description: partial 16S ribosomal RNA
Rfam family: Bacterial small subunit ribosomal RNA
Source: RNAcentral